Molecule: long non-coding RNA, 497 nt
Filed under: Marmota monax (woodchuck)
Lineage: Eukaryota; Metazoa; Chordata; Mammalia; Rodentia; Sciuridae
Source: RNAcentral
CCAGCACACAUGAAGCGAGGAGGUAGACAUCCAGGAAUGCAAGCAGUCCCGGAGGUGGCUGACAUCUCAAACACCCAAGGAUAACCGGGCACAAGACAGGGGCUAGUGGUCAGAGAGGAGGAUGGCUGAAAUGAAAACUGUGGAGGGGACAGUCAAAGGUGAUGUCGAAGUCUGAAGUGGAACCAUGAUACUUUUUGGCUGAGAUCACUGAAGGUGAGGCGGCAAGAACUCAAGAGACCAGCACAGGCUGAGUCACACAGAAAUGCUGGUUGAUGAGAUCCCCGUGAAAAUACUGAGUGCAGAGAUGGAUGGUGGCAGUGAGCCAGGUUUCAUAGAGCUUUUGAACAAUAAGGGUGUUGAAAGAAGGCCAACACAACAGAACGGUGAAGAGAAAGCAGGAGGCCUGAUCUUAGUGCAUGAGCUUUCACAGAGGUGGGUUUGGAUGAGGAAGAGGGAUCUACGGCUUGGAAGGUUAAGCAAGACACUCCACUGGGUAA